This 442-nucleotide ribosomal RNA is filed under the name uncultured bacterium. RNAcentral describes it as "partial 16S ribosomal RNA". It matches the Rfam family "Bacterial small subunit ribosomal RNA", at positions 338 to 795 of the family's 1533-position model. The record is from RNAcentral.
CCUACGGGAGGCUGCAGUGGGGAAUAUUGGGCAAUGGGCGCAAGCCUGACCCAGCGACGCCGCGUGAGGGAAGAAGGUCUUCUGGUUGUAAACCUCUUUCAGCAGGGAAGCCAAAAGGACGGUACGUGCAGAAGAAGCCAGUACCAACGGCAUUCCACCAGACUGGGUCAGUGGUAGGUGGCAAGCGAUAACCGGGAUUGCGGGGUGUAAAGGGUUUGGAGGGGGGUUUGUCAGUUAGAUGGCAAAAUUACGGGCCUAACCCACAGCCUGCGGUUGAAACUAAAGACCUGGAGUGAGUGAGAGGUAAACGGAAUGCCUGGUGUAGCGGUGAAAUGCGUAGAUAUCGCGAGGAACACCAGUGGCGAAGGCGGUUUACUGGAACACAACUGACGCUGAGACACGAAAGCGUGGGGAGCAAACAGGAUUAGAUACCCCUGUAGAC